AUGGGUAGGUUUACGUUUGUUCGUGGUCCUAGUCCAAGCUCGACGGAGCCGCCGCCGUCGCCUUCUUCCGGCAUGUCCAAUCCGGUGGCUCGCUCUCCCACGCGGGAGGAAGGUUGUCGCGCUCCGACGACUCGUGCCAGGUCUUCAUCGUCUACAGACAGCGGCAUGGCGCUGGAAAGGCUCACCGACGAGCUCCUCGUCGAGAUCCUUCCGCGCGUCCCCGCAAGUUCGGACAACAGCUGCAAUCUCGUCUCCGAGCGUUGGCUUGGCCUCAUCGACCACCCCGACCACCGCAAGAGGCUUCUCCAACCCCUGGCAGGCUUCUUCUACAACAGCACCGGCAAGCAUAGUUUUAAAAACCGGACCGAUGAUCGAACCGGUGAGGCUGCCGGUUCAGAUUUUCACCUGUCAGACCGCUGGUUUUUUCGGUUCAAUGUCAUGAUGAAUGUUAUGUGGCUCUACAUGUUUGGUUAA
Molecule: ribosomal RNA, 474 nt
Filed under: Triticum aestivum (bread wheat)
Lineage: Eukaryota; Viridiplantae; Streptophyta; Magnoliopsida; Poales; Poaceae
Description: partial small subunit ribosomal RNA
Source: RNAcentral